Dermacentor silvarum is the source of this 1109-nucleotide long non-coding RNA. RefSeq lists it as uncharacterized. The record is from RefSeq and is a predicted model, not a curated record. Lineage: Eukaryota; Metazoa; Arthropoda; Arachnida; Ixodida; Ixodidae. The transcript is spliced from 3 exons.
UAAGUUUUUCUGUGAUUGCAUACCUCGCGAACGCGGCGCGAACUUCGUAACUUUAUGGCCUCUAGUAACUGUGUGAAAACGGGCUUUACUAGUGCCUCGAUCGGAGUACAAAAGUAUAACAAAUCUCAACCGUAGUGCUGAACUCCAAAACGACGCAGAAUACGCGAAAGCGAACGGGAGCAUGGCGGUACUCCACAGUGAAAGUGUUGCUGCCGUCGACUUUCAUUGAAAACUUCGUUCCGCGGCUGUUACCCUGUUGCCACUGAACUUCAGGACGCUGUGGAGAACUUCGAGGGCAUCGUGCACGAUUCAUACCGGUAACGACAUAUUCGAUUCCUUGCGAAGGCAGUUCAAUCGCUCGGAGGCACCGUGACUUCCCAGCAACUGUCGAGCACAAGGAGUUGCAGCAGAGUCGCCUCAACCAUUGUGACUGUUGCAACUAUGUGCAAGCACACAGUUGAGGAGCCACGUCAUUGCCACUACUGCCCUCAGAGUUUAUUGCACAAGAGCAGCCUUAAGUCUCAGCAGUGCAAGCCCCUCGUGUGAAUUAACACAUGAGAACAUGUCAUCACAAUACCACACCAAAGCAGCAUCAAGGCCUUCUAUUUCUCCAUCAAUGGCUGAGGUUGAGAAGUCACUGCAGAGACUCCUCCAUCACUGUCACUUUAUAUGACUAUGAGACUGGUAAGCUGUGUAAUAUGAAAGCACACUUCAAGGUUCAUCCUGGCGAGCAUCCAUUGGAAUACCAUUCGUGCCCUCAGAGCUUCUUACGAAGUCCCAAGCUGAUGGAACACCUGUGCAUCCACGCAGGCGAGAGGUCAUUUCAGUUCCCUUCAUGCCCUCAUAUCUUCUCGCAUAAGUCCAACAUGAAGCAGCACCUGUGCAUUCAUACAGGUGACCGACCACAGCGCCACACCGUCUGCUCCAAGUCCAUUCUUCAGGUGAGUAAUUUUCUCCGAUGAAGUGGAGAAAGCUACUCGCCUGAUGAAAGGACUUGGACCAGACAUAAGAAAAGACAGCACCAUGAUACCAUAGAUUAGGCGAACAGCCCUGUAGAAUGUAUAACUUAAAUGUUGAACUGCAAAGUCAUUUCACCGGGUGUUCCACCC